UGUUGGUGAUGGAGGUGGCAUAGGGAAUG
This 29-nucleotide non-coding RNA is filed under the name Mus musculus (house mouse). Lineage: Eukaryota; Metazoa; Chordata; Mammalia; Rodentia; Muridae. The record is from RNAcentral.